Molecule: long non-coding RNA, 40292 nt
Filed under: Triticum aestivum (bread wheat)
Lineage: Eukaryota; Viridiplantae; Streptophyta; Magnoliopsida; Poales; Poaceae
Description: long non-coding RNA (TAES_LNC013979)
Source: RNAcentral
GAAUCUCUCCAAGGCAUCCAUACAACUUCAGACUCCUCAACAGGGGAGGAGGAGAGGAGACAUCAUGCAGCCACUCGAGUGAACCAUCCACCGAAAGGGAGCUUCUGAAUGGCAUCACCGAGUUCCUUGCAUUUCUGCUUGGUGGCCCCUUCUGUUAGCACGCUCAGUUUUUUCAGCUGCACAAGCCAACCUAGCUCUUUAAUUGCCUUGCCACUAGUUCGGCUGAUGUCCACAACUUCUAGGAUUUGCAGCUCUUUCAGUUUACCCAUUCCUUUUGGCACACUCACACCUUCUGACUUUGACCAACGGCUAGACCAUGCCAUGUGUAGCUCAGCAACUACCUCGGUGCGCUCACUAGGAUCAACCAAAGGUGUGAACAGAAUGGGCACAACAAAUGUGACCAGCAAGCAAUUCUUGGGGCCACCCAAGUCAAAAAAGUAUUGAUAUGAAUUAUUUCUGCUGCAACAGAGACUGUGUAGACUCUUGAGUUUACAAAUCUCAUUUGGCAGUUCUGUAAUAUAACUGUCCCUAAAGUUCAAAGUGCGCAAGCCUUGUAAUCUCCCUAUGGAUCUAGGAACUUUAUAAAUAUGUGAAUAUCCUCGAGGAUGAGAAAAAUUCAGAUACUUCAAGUGGCGAAACAAUCCUAUGUUGCUGAUAUCCUUUUGUGUGACUUGAAACUGUGCAUUCUCUAGAUCCAAGACCCGGAGCAUUCUCAUGUCAGAUGAACAAACUGAAGGUGAUGGACCCAAUGAUCUCUCACCAAACACAGUUACUGACCGGACAUGGCUCCAAUCCAUGCCUAAUUUUGGGCACUUACUACCAUUGUAUGCUACAUGACGAAAGUUCCCCUCUGAUACAAUAGUUGCAUUAUCUCCUGCCAAAUACACAAAAUUUUCUUCCCUGGAUAUCGAGACCAUCACAUCACGCAUGAUAUCAUGGACUCGACAACUCUUAACAUGUCCUUCUAUGCUCACUUUUGAGGGCUGAAUCAUGCUUCGGUUGAUUAGCUCAGUGAAAUAACUUAUUCCAACAUCUUCAAUGUUUUUUUUUGAGAAUGACUACCCAAAUACACGAACCAUCUACAUGGAACAUUCAGAUAGCAUGAGCGAGCGAAGCCUUUCCGGCACAUUCGCGAUGAUCAGCGAGUCUCCCUCUCGCCUUCCCCACACAGCUAGCUCAUGGGCCAGCUUGUUCUUGCACCUUUUGACCGCUUUGAUCCUGAACGUGUUGAAAUUUCUCGCCGUGCUCUUAAUGUCGCUGACAACUGAGAAACAUGCAGAGCGAUUUGGGCACCCCAUCUCCAGUUCCUUUGCAAUCAAACUGCAGUCAGUCUCAACGAUCAGGUCACCCUGGUACAUGGCCAAUAGUGUUGUGAUCCCCAUCAGGAUGGCAUGUCCCUCUGCUUCUUCCACAGAGCUGCAUUCCCUCAUCGCCCUGCUCACGGAGAAGAGAACCCCACCCUGGUGGUCUCUGGCCACAGCCCCGGCCCAGCAUUGGCCCGUCCCUGGGAGGAAGGCCGCAUCUGUGUUUACUUUAAUCACACCAAACGAUGGCUUCUCCCACAGAAGGGAUGUAUCUACACUCGACUGAUCCCGAGGUUUUGGUUAUCCGAAGACUGACAAAGAGCCACUGCAUUUCCCGUUAGUCCGAUCAUCCAGUGACAGAUUCUGUAAUUCCCUCUCGUACCCAAUCAGGAACUGCACCGAUCUCGAUACAGAUUCCUUACCCUCAUGAUGCACACAAUCAUCACGUAAAAACCAGGCACGCCACAGUAGAAGUAGGAUUUUGAUCCUCAUCUCUGAAUCAUUUUUGUCUAACAACACCUGAAGCCAGUCUCUCCCAGUGUACCCGAACUCAUGUUCAUUCGGUAUUCCCCACACUUUCCGCAUAGCAAACCUCAAAGCCCUGCUCUUUGUGCAUAUUAAGACCGCGUGGAAUUCGUCCUCUUCCCCAUGUCCACAUAAAUCACAUACGCUGUCAUGGACAAUCGUACGUUUGAAUUUAUUCAUCUUAGUUGCGAGUGUUCCUGUAGCGAUUCUCCACCCCAAAAUCUUUAUUCUCUCAGGGAUUUUCAUUUUCCAUAUGACAUCCCAAAUACUUCUAUCUCCUGCAUCUGAGGUAGAGGACGAUGCACCCACGGAUGUGUUACGAUCCAGACUAGCCGCUAGCUUAUACGCACUUCGAACUGUGAAAAUACCAUUUUUCUCAUAGUGCCAGGCAAUACAAUCGUCCACUUCUGCCGAAGGAUUAUUUAUCUUUAGGAUUUCCUCUGCAUCAAAAGGAUAGAAGAUGUUGCUGACCAGUUCCCGAUUCCAACCUUUGGUCUCCGGAUUAAUUAGCUGGUUUACCCACCGGAGUCUAGAUCUUCUCCUAAAGCUCGCUACCCUCAAACCCUCCUUCCGUGGGAUCCAUUGGUCACGCUGAAUCUGAAUGCGUUUUCCAUUUCCCACUCGCCACACAAGUCCUUUUUUCAGCAACUCCAGGCCAUGCUCUAUGCCUCUCCAAACCGGUGAGGCGUCGGAGGAAAAAACAGUAUCAAGAAGAUCACCUUUAGGAAAAUAUUUUGCCUUGAGGAUUCGAGUGCACAAACUCUCUGGAUUUUGAAUGAGCCUCCAACCCUGCCUCGCCAGUAACGCCAGAUUGAAUAGAUGCAUAUCUCUAAAACCAAUUCCACCCGCUCUUUUCGGUUGGGUCAUGCGUUCCCACGGCAUCCAGUGGACCUUCCUAUGGCCAUCCUCAUCACCCCACCAGAAAUCCCUGAUAAUUUUUCAUACUUCUCACAUAAGCCCUUUGAUAACAAGAAAACGCCCAUAAUGAAGGUGGGGAUAGCUUGGGCGACCGACUUGACAUGUACCUCUUUGGCAGCGUAAGACAUGAACCUCUCAUUCCAACUGUUGCAUCUCUUUCCAAGUUUGUCUAAGAUCGGUUGAAAAUUCUCGUCUUUUAUUCUCCCUUCCGGAGUUGGUAGUCCCAAAUACUUGCUCUCAAAAGUGGAUGUUUCUACUUCCAGCACCUCUUUGAUACCCUCUCUCACAGGUUCAGGGCACUUCUCACUGAACAAGAUGGAACACUUACUUGAGCUAAGAAGUUGACCGGUGCAUCUCUCAAAAAUAUUCAGCGCUCUCCUCACUGCUCUCGCUUGGUCCACUGUUCCCUUGAAGAACAGCAAGCUAUCGUCAGCAAAAAGCAGGUUUGAGAUGCCCGGACUAUUCCUUGCUACUUUGAUUGGUGUGAUCUGUCCACCUGCCACCUCUCUGUUUAACAGCUUAACCAAACCGUCUGCAACGAAUAAGAAGAGAUAUGGGCUAAUUGGAUCCCCUUGGCGGAGGCCUUUGGAUGGUGAAAAGAAUUUUGACAAUUCCCCAUUGCAUUUCACUGAAAAUCUGACCGAUGUCACACACUCCAUGACCCACUUAAUCCACUUCGUACAAAAGCCAAUUCUGCCUAAGACCUAUUCAAGAUACCCCCAGUCCACUCGAUCAUACGCCUUUGCUAGAUCCAAUUUAUAGGCACAGUGAGUAUCAUGCUGGUUCUUGCUAUGCUGUAUUUUAUGAAAGCAUUCAAACGCUAUGAUUGCAUUAUCUGUAAUCAUCCUCCCCGGAAUGAAAGCACUCUGGGUCUCUGACACUAUAUCAUUUAGUACCGGUCUCAGUCUAUUUGCAAGACACUUGGAAAUGAACUUGUACACGAUGUUGCACAAACUGAUAGGACGGAAAUCUUUCAACGUCUGUGGGUCAUUUCCUUUAGGGAUUAGUACAAUGACGGUGUCAUUUAUCCCCUCUGGUAGGACUCCAUUUUCAAAGAAAUGUAGUACGGCAGCCACCACGUCCUCCUUUAGGACAGCCCAGUUCCGUUGGUAAAAUCGGGCCGGGAAUCCGUCCGGUCCCGGAGCUUUCAGUGGCCCUAUCUGGAAGAGUGCGUCACUAAUCUCCUCAGCCGUGAACUGUUUUGUUAGUUGAUCAUUCAUAUCAUCCCCGACAGUACGUUGUGUCAGCUCUAUGAGUUCAAAGGGUGCCACCCCUGGAUCCUUGGUGUACAGGUUCUUGAAGAAUUGUGUAGCUAGUUUCUCAAUCCAUUUACUGUCCUCCACCCAGUUUCCCUCUUCAUCCUUCAAUUUUGAGAUAGAGUUCUUCUUCUUUCUCCAUGUAGCAUUUCUCUGAAAAUAUUUCGUGUUGCGGUCUCCCUCCUUCAGUUCUGUGACUCUCGACCUUUGCCUCCACAUCAUCUCCUCUCUCAGUAGUAGCUCAUCUAGUACCUUCGACAGUUUCUUGAUGUUGUGCUGUUGGUGUGGGGAGGGGGCGCCGACCAGAGGUAGCUCAGCUGUUUCCUAACCUCUGCUGUCUUUUUAAGAACUGAGCCAAAAUCCUUCGCUGCCCACUGCCGUAGAUCUGACUGCAUCGUAACCAAUUUUGCACCCAGGUUUUGAAGUGUGUCUGCUGUCCCUACCUUCUUCCAUGAGCUCUCAACAGAUUUGCUUAAAGAAUCCACUCUCUCCCACAUAUACUCAUACCGGACAGCAGGAACCCGUGUCUCAUUUCGUGGUCUCCAUUCCAACCGAGGGCCGAACCUCACUAACAAAGGGAGAUGGUCAGAUCGUGAUGAGCAGAUAUGUUCAACCGAUGCAUGCUGAAAGAUAUCGCUCCAGUUCGAGGACGCCACUCCUCUAUCCAGGCGUGCUUUCACGUUCCUUUGGCCCUCCUGUUUGUUGUCAAAAGUCCACAACGGUCCUUUGAAACCAAGGUCAAAGAGGCCACAUUCAGAGAGAACAACACGGAAAUUCGACAUAUAUCUUUCAGACCUGGGUGUAGAAGAGAUAUGUUCUUCUUGCCACAUAGUCUCAUUGAAGUCGCCGACCGCAAACCACGGUGCAUCAGACACAGGUUUUAUUCUUCUUAGGAGGUUCCACAUAUGGUGCCUUUCAUGACCUUUUGCCUCACCAUACACAAAGGUUGCACGCCACUGCUGGCCAUGAGCGUUCAAGCGAAUCAACACAUCGAUGUAGCGCAAACCCACGGCAAGUUUUAUUACCUCCACACUCUCAUCAUAAUACAAGGCAAUGCCAGCUCCUUUUCCUAUGCCGGCAUGGGUGAUGCAGUGUUUCAGGCCUAAUCUCCAUCUUAGGCUGCUUACAUAUUUAUUUUUCUGCCGUGUUUCCGAAAGAAAAACGAGCUUUGGCUUGUAGGUGUGCACUAGACACACCAAUUCCUGAACUGUCCGGGGUUGCCCGAGACCCCGGCAGUUCCAACUGAGGAGCGUCAUGGCUCCUGGUGGACGCCGCCUUUAGCGUCCACCAGGGUACCGGCAGCCCCAUGGCCGGUUGCUUCCUUGCCCUUUGCCUCGCCCUCGUCCACUCCGUUGACAGCCCCCUUCUUCUUCUUGUACUGUUCUGCGAUUGCCCCAUCCUGUUCUGAUGUCGGGUCCUCUGUUGCGUCUGCACCGCGGACGCCCCUCUUCCCCAGGAUCGAAGCCCGGUGGCCGCCUCCUCCUGAGACGUGUCCACCUGUUUUCCCCUCCUGCACNNNNNNNNNNNNNNNNNNNNNNNNNNNNNNNNNNNNNNNNNNNNNNNNNNNNNNNNNNNNNNNNNNNNNNNNNNNNNNNNNNNNNNNNNNNNNNNNNNNNNNNNNNNNNNNNNNNNNNNNNNNNNNNNNNNNNNNNNNNNNNNNNNNNNNNNNNNNNNNNNNNNNNNNNNNNNNNNNNNNNNNNNNNNNNNNNNNNNNNNNNNNNNNNNNNNNNNNNNNNNNNNNNNNNNNNNNNNNNNNNNNNNNNNNNNNNNNNNNNNNNNNNNNNNNNNNNNNNNNNNNNNNNNNNNNNNNNNNNNNNNNNNNNNNNNNNNNNNNNNNNNNNNNNNNNNNNNNNNNNNNNNNNNNNNNNNNNNNNNNNNNNNNNAGGGACAAAGCCCGGUGGGUAGGCCAACUUCUCAGGUGUAGCAUAUGCAUCACCAUCCAACUCUUCAGCAGCCCCAGGCAAGGUUGGUGUAGAGCCCAGUUGCAGCUCGCCUUUUAUUCAGUGCCUCCCUCUCCUGCGUGCCAUUCUCUCCAUUACCUGGCUUGAUCAUGUGUCCACUUUUGCUGUCAUCCCCCACCCUCACAGCUCUGGCAGCUGCGAUUGCCUCCUGUACCAUCGGGUCAGCCAUGAUCUCCUCUAUUAUUCCUAUAUAGCAGGCCAAGGUCUGCUUCUUCGCCUCCCCCUUUGCCUCAUCUUCGCUUGCAGAGCCAAAACUGAGAAAACAACGAGCCCCUCCUACCUCUGGGACUAUGACCCCACUCAAGUUGUUACUCUUUUUGAACGGAGAGGCGCGCAUUGCUGCCAUGAACCUCAUUGUUUGGAGGUUCUCCGGCAGCUUACAAUCGCGUUGGCCAUGUCCGACUCGCCCACAAUACGCACAGAAGCGCGGGGCUCUCUCGUACUUAACUUCUAAGAUGUGCAACUCUUUCUCUUCCUCUCCACUCUCAGCUAAUACUCUUGUUUUGAUGUUACGGGAGAGUGGUUCAUCUACAUCACGCUUAACCCUAACCCUGAUAAACUCAUUGCGGAUUCUACCCCUCUUAUCAGUAUCAACCUCCAGGACCACACCUAGAAUAGCUCCUAAUUUCUCACCGACCUCUUUGGACAGCAUGAGUGGGGGAACAUCAUAUAUCUGGGCCCAUAUUGGCAUGUGGGCGAUCUCCACUUCGCCCGGGGCAAUGGUGCCGUCCACCCGGACGAUGAGGAAGGCAUCGCCGCGGUGAGUCCAGGGGCCGUUGUCGAGGAUGAAACGCAGGUCGCCUUCCCUCUCGAACUCCAGCAUGUACCUGUUGUUCUUGAGCUGUGUGUAGUGGAGUCUGCCGCGCAGCCCCCACUUGUCCUUGAGCUCCUUGAACAGGCCAGCAGCGCUGAAGGCUUGCAUCGAGAAGAACAAGCCCACCGCGAGCCACCUCGUACGCAUCAUGGCCCUCUCUCUGGAAAGGUCCAGCACCACCACGCCGGCCCCCUGGUCCUCCCUUGUCGCACGUCCGUUGGCCUUGGACGAGCUCCCCCGCAGCAGCUUACGGUUGCCACCGUCGCCAUGGUCGCACGAGGCAACCUCCUCAUGCUCUUGCAUCGCCGCCUUACCGCUCUUUCCCUGUUGGUUCGCCAAGGAGGUGGAGUUGUGUUUGUUGCUACAAAGGAUUUGUGAAGAUGUGGGGAGGCUGCUGUCCAAUUUAUAAGAUUCCUUUUGGCCGCUCCCAUCCUCUGAUGUUGAAAGUCUGAAUGGCCUGAUCUGAUCCCCUUCCAUCUCCAACCUCAUGUGGAUCGGUAAUUGCUUUGUUUCCUCUCUCCCACGAUCUGGUGGAUCUCCUGGUUCCUGAUUUUGGGAACUACCCUUAACGCUCAAGAUACAUACCCCAGGAUUCUGGAGUAGUUCUUCUCUCAUCCUCCGUAGCCGAUUCCCGAUUCUUUCCAGAGUUGGAUACUCCUCCGAUUUCUGAUUUUUAUCCACUUCAUCGAGAAAAUUGGCUAUUUGCCACUUUCAAUAUGGGGCUUCGCACAAAUGCCACUGUCAAGAUUGACUUCGUAAGAAUGCCACCCAGCUCAUGUAUACUUUGAUUAACUUGCCAUUUUUCCUUUUCUCAUUGCUUUUCUUUUUCUUUUCCAUUUUCUGGCACCUGAAAGGACCAAAGUGCCCUUGGACCUUUCAACCUUAUCCGAUGCGUUUGUAGGCUGGCUGGCUCGUCAUGUCGCUGAUGCUUGGCCGAGCAACCACAGGUCGCCGCCGUUGCUCGCCCACACCUGCGUGCGCCACCGCAGCUCGCCUUGACCACGCCCGUGUGCGCAUCCGCUGGUCGCCGCAGGUACUCGCCCGCGCCUACGGCCUACCGUGCCCGCGCAGCUCACCAUCACCUUGCCGAUGCCUGCACGAGACACUGCAGCACGCCGCCGGUGCUCGUGCACGUCUGCACGUAACGGCGCAGCCUCGCGGAUGCCUGCGCGAGCCACCACAGCUCGCUGCCAGUGCUGGCCCUGUGGCCCACGCCAGCGCAGCUCGCCCUCCCCUUCGCGCAUUGGGGUAGUUUGUCCCGAGAGCCAAGACAUACGACGGCAGCGUUGAACAGCAGCUCCAGUGGCGUGAUGCCAGCACCGGCUGGAGGAGAUGGAUGCGUGUACAUGUUCUGAAGACGGGAUGCAAGCAACCUGUAAGUGACGUUUGCUCUAAUCCUUUACUUGAAUCUUGCAUUGCAAUUUGGCAAUUACAUGUAUCUAAUCAUAGUGUAUGUAAAGAUAGGAAAAAGGAAUUGCAGUCAGAGGAGAGUGUACGUUUGCCUUCCACAAAUACAAUCACAGAUACAAUGAAAGCGUCGCCGAGGAGAUCGGCGGCACGCAGCGUCGACGAAAUCGGCGGCAGCGAGAAGAUCAGUGUCACGCGGCGUCGAGGAGAUGGGGGCGGCGUCCAGAGGUUGACGCAAGACGUGGAUACGGCAAGCACGUUAUUCUCGUCUGUUUCAAGUGCGCUGAUUAGAUGCAAGUACGUAUUGAUAACAACAGGGGCAGCUUAGUCUUUUCUGGUGCCUGUAAAUGGGAAAAGAAAAAGGGAAAUCUGUAAAAGGGUUGGAAUGGCAUGUUAAUCAAAGUACAUAUGAGCUGAGUGGCAUUUUUACUAAGUCAAUCUUGACAGUGGCAUUUGUGCGAAGCCCCAUAUUAAAAGUGGCAAAUAGCCAAUUUUCUCCCACUUCAUCAUGGCCGCUUGACCGCCUUGAUUUCUUUUCCACCAACUUGCAGAGCGCCUGCCUGGUUCGGAGCCAAGAAUCCCUGAGACCCAGGGGAUCGCGAUGGCUUUCCUCCUCUCUCUUGAUCUCCCGAUCCCUCUUUCCUUCCUCCUGAAUCCUGAUCGUAGUCGCAUCUCUCGUGGUUUUCUCCUCUACGGAUGAUCGCCCUCGAAUCGCCCCAUCACGGGGAGCCUCAUUCCUCUUCAAUGUUUACUCCACCUCUGGCUCUAACAAACCCCUCUUCUAUCCAUCUAUCUACCAAACGCCUCCUUUUGAAUUCAAAAUCCUCAGGAAAGAUGCUUAGAUACAGAAAGCAUGACUUGAGAUGAGACGGCAAGUUAUUGUAGCUUAGAGUAACUAUCCUCCUAAUUGCUUCUAGGCUAGGGUUGCUCUCAAGCUCUGAUGGGAUUUGUGUAUAGAUACUUUCCCACUCCGUUGCCUUUUUGUUGCCAAGCAUGCCUCCUAUAGUGAGUAUAGCCAGCGGUAGACCACCACACUUCUUUACUAUUUUGUUGACCACUGACAUCAUUUUCUGAUCAUUUUUCAUGUUUUCUCGUGUUUUUCCACUCUUUCUAAGUAGCAAAUUUGUGGCAUCCUCUAUUUGCAGGUGCUUAAGGUGGUAGAUAAGUGUAACAUCUUAAAUUUUCAAUUUGGAAUGCUAUACAUUAGAUCAUCAUUGCAUAUCAUAUUUUAUUUGCUUUUGGUCUUGAUCCUAGAAAUUUUACACAACUCAAGGACCCACGGAGAGAGUUGAGGAUUUCGUUAUUUUCAUAUUUGAGUUCUCUCAAAUUUUGAGAAUAGGAUCAUUUGAUUUUACUUAUUUUAUCUUCAAUUAUUUCUAUUACAAAAAUAUGAGAGGGGGAAUAAAAUGACUUUCCCAAAAUAAAGAAAUAUUGAGGAUUUAAUAAUAAAAUCAAAUAAGAUUUUUUUCGGAGUUUUUUGAUAUUUUUAUUUGAAUUUAGGAAAAAUAUGCGUUUUUCAAAAUUGCAUUUAGGCCCCAAAUAAAUGUUCACUUUGUCCGGCUUGAUUUUAGCAGUCGGGGAAAAUUUAUUUCAAGAUUUUUCAAGUCCGUUUAGUAUUUCUUUUAUUUGUUUUUCGGUGCGUAAUUAUUAAAAAAAGUCCGAACCGACUCCGGGCCGUACCCGAGCGGGACUCCGCCCAGGGCAGCCUUUAAAUAGCGCCGCCCGAGCCCCGCCAAAGCCCAUCAGCCGCCGCCGCAGCCCACCCGCGCCUAACCCUAACCCUAGCGCCGCCGCCGCCCGCGCCGCCGCUCGCCGGACCCGCCGCCCGAGGUAGCCGCCGUCGCCGACGGUUUUCUAUAGAAAACUGCCCGUUUUUUUAAAGCCACGGUUUAUUUUUUUUAGAUUCGUUUUUUAUUUAGAUCGGUUUUAUUUCGGUUCAUUCUAUUUAGCGAGCGUUCGCUCGAUCCGUUAACGAACGUGUUCGUCGUUUAGAUCCAGAUAACAAACGUCCAUUCGUUAACUUGUUCGUCGUUUUUCUUUUUUCUCGGAUUUUCCGCGAUUAUUUCUGAUCGCGAUUUCUGAUCCGAUUUUCGUUUUAGUAUAACUUUUCGCUCGUUUAUCGGAGUCAGGCGAUUCAAGCGACUGGAGUUUUGUAUCGAAGCCCUCUUUCCGUUUAACAAACUUAAACAAGUUUUUGUUUCCGUAAAAAUUGACUUAGGUCCAGAUUAGUAAAACGAAGUUGUUUUCUUUCGCCAUUUGACUUUUGUUGCUUCGUUUGAUUUGAUUCUUUUUGCAAACCGGAGUUCUUAAGUUGAACUUUCCGGUUAGAUCUCUUAUUUAAGUUUUACCUGUGCAUUAGAUGAGUACUUAUUGUAUGUUUGUUUGUUUGUCUGCGAUAGAAUACCCGGAGUGCGCCGCCUGUUACUUCGAAUCUCUAGGUUUCGCGGAUCGUCAGCAAGGCAAGUAACACUUUGAUCAUACAUUUCUACUACCCAAUUUUAUUGCAUUAGAUCAAUCGUCAAACAUUGCAUGAUUAGGAUCUAAUCAAAUUAUGGGAUGCGAAGUAGUUCAGGUAGUACCUAUUACCUGUUUUAUUUUCAAACCUUUGGGAGUUACUUCUACGUUUGCUUAUUAUGCCAUGCUAUGCUAGUAGACGUGGAUUGGGUGAGUGAUAUCUAUGACAGAUAUGAGAUUGUUAAUUAAUGGUUUAUCUAAGGUGGCAACUUAAACACACAUCUGGAUGGAUUGAGGUACCUGGGUAUUCCAGGAUUGCCUGUUUCUUUUUAGACCGCCACCCAGGCUCAAAAGGAUCAUGAGACUAUUCAUACUAGAAACUUCCAUGUGCAGCUACAAGCUACAAUGGGCUCUAGCAUAGUUGACUAAGUCAUGCGAACUCUUACAGUGGUAGACUAGCUGAUGUAGGGGAUGUAGGUUGGUACGGUCUACCCGAUGGUAAGGUGCUAGCGCUUCUGAAAGACUAUGUCUCGGUCAUCCGUUUCUCAAACACCAUGUAGUGUGAGAAUCCCAUGGAGGAGAUCGAGUCUUGUGGGGAAAAGUGCACAAACCUCUGUAGAGUGUAUAAACUAAUCAUGAUUAGCCGUGUCCCCGGUUAUGGACGUUUUGAGUAUCUAGUACUUGGAUUAUCAUGUGAAUCUCAUCAUGUUACUCUAAAUUAAUUUUGUUGGGUUUUAAUGAUGAUUAAUUUAAUUGGGAUUGAGGAUGCUGUCAACCAUUCUCAAUGUUUAACAACCACCAUGAUAGUUAAAUAAAAUUUAUUGCUUUGCAGUAGGGAAAAAUUGGUAACCAUAGAGCUUUCCACCAGCCAUAUAUGCAUGUAGUAUAGCUUAUUCCUUCAUUACUCCCUAUGUGUUACAUUGCCAGCAUAUUCCAUGUGCUGACCCGUUUUCGGCCUGUAACGUUUCAUGUUGCAGACUUUUCAGACGACGAGUAAGGUGCUUUUAGGUCGUGGUUCUAUACUCAGUGAUGCCGUUGGAGUUGAUGGACUCACUUAUCUUCCAAGUCUUCCGCUGUUAUCAUUAUUAGAUGGCCUUAUGUCAUAUUUAUUGUAAUAAGUUCUCUUUUGAGACAUUCAAUGUAAUAAGUGUGUGAUUGCUACUCUGUUAUAAAUCCUUCAAGUACUGUGUGGUGUCAGCAUUACUGAUCCAGGGAUGACACCUGAGCACAGAGAUCAGACUGUUUGAGGUCUGGUCGCCACAAGAUGGUAUCAGAGCACACGCUGACUGUAGAACACGACCACUAAGCUAAAAGCCCUAGACCACUACUCUCUUCUCAUUUCUGACUCCUCAUCUUUUCUACUCUUUUAGGAUGACGGAAGCGAGGAUCAAGUUCACGCAGCCGGAUGAAGACACACCUUUUGGACGACACCUGAAGGAAGUCACUAAGUACCUGAACAUCGGAAUACCAAGUUUCACCGGGACCUACAAUGCCACCUUACCCGAAGAGGAGCGCUGGAAGAUUCAAGCUCAAGUUCCAGGAAGAACGUUCACGCCAGUCACGGAGCCCAUAGAGUGUACCUUUAAUGCACCAACCUGGAGUCUAGGAAAGAGCAUGGCAGCUCACAUCACCAUGGGAUGCAUUGGAGAAGUUUACAAAGACGACCUCAAGGAUACUAUCUAUCAGAUUUGCGGACGCCGAGAUGAACAAUGGGAGAUAGUUAGCACCAAGAAGGAUAGAUCCAUUGCAGCCUUCAUCCAGGAGUUAAACCAGCACAUUCGACGCUAGGAGAACCAGAUGUGCGCGAACAUGAUGGAGUUGAAGAAAGCGAAGGCUAGAAUUAUCGAGCUAGAUGGAGAACUGAAGGCCACUCGCAAGGACUACAUGGAGGAGAUCGUAGCUCUAGUGAGACAAAACGGCGAUCUUAAGGAGAAGAUUGAAGAACUCAUGGGGAAUUCAGCACCCGGAGGAGAAGACGAAGAUUGCACUUGUCUAGAGAACUACAUCAUCAUCAACGACAUUGAUUCCGAUCCUAGUGAUGAUGACUUCGAAGACGAAGCUGGAGCAGAUAUCAUGGAGUCUUCAUCGGAGCAGUUUUUCUAGUAGACCACCAUAACAGUAGUAGUAUUCCACCAUGUAUAUAGCAUAGUCCAAGCACUUUUGCGAUAGUUCUAGACCGAUUGUAUGCCCUUGUUUAAUUGAAUGAAGUGAUUUUGUGUGCAUUUGCCUCAUGAGCAUAUGGGUAGUGUUUUCCCUUUAGACCUCAUUCUAUUCUUAAUUCUCAUCUUUUCUAAACCCUUAGAUGCCUCCGAGACAUGACAAUGGAUUUGCAUUCCCACCUGAGCUCACUCAGUUGAUCCAGCAGUAGAAUGCGUUGAUGCAGUUGCUAGUCCAGAACCAGAACAACAACAACAACAACAACAACAACAACAACAACAACAACAACAACAACAACAACAACAACAACCCACCACUGCCACCACCUGUUGAUCACUUAACCCGCUUUCUUAGGCUGAAUCCGCCGGUGUUCUCCAGUAGCACCGAGCCGAUAGUGGCAGAUGAUUGGCUCCGCAAGACAGGGAGGGAGUUGACCACUGCAGGAUGUACAGAUGGGGAAAAGGUGAAAUUUGCCGCUCAUCAGCUUGAAGGACCCGCAGUAGCAUGGUGGGAGAAUUUCACAGCCACUUACCAUGUGGACACUGUCACAUGGGAUCAGUUUCAGCAAGCUUUCCGUACUGCCCAUAUUUCAGCAGGAGCUAUGGCCACGAAGAAGCGUGAGUUUCGCAACUUGCGCCAAGGAGGACGGACAGUUGGCCAGUAUGUGGAUGAAUUUAGUAAGCUAGCACGUUAUGCCCUAGAUGACGUUGCUACGGAUGCAGCUAAGCAGGAGGAGUUUCUGGAAGGACUGAAUGACGAGCUGAGCAUGCAGUUGAUGGUAGCAAGCUUCAACAACUACCAGGAGUUGGUAGAUCGUGCUCUUAUGAUUGAAGGGAAGCAGCAACAGAUUGAAAACCGCAAGAGAAAGUAUGGACAGGGGAAGUACAAUUCUGGAGCUCAGCAGAAGCCCCGUCUUACCCCUAAGCAGGGAGUUCAUUUUCAGCAUACCCAUGGAGGAGGUAGAUCGCACAAUCAUAAUGGCCCCAAAAAUGGUAAUGAGAAUGGAGGAAGCAACGGCCAAAACCGUACCACCCCAUCAACCCCGGCCAAGAGAGACCUAAGCCAAGUCAUCUGUUUUAAGUGUCAGAAGACCGGACAUUAUGCCAAUGAAUGUCCUGAAGGCCAGAAUGGCAAUGGAAGCUCUGGGAAGAAGCCGAACCCUUUCAACAGGGGACAGGUGAACCACGUUAACAUGGAGGAGGUUGAAGCCCAGCCUGAUGCAGUAAUAGGUAAGUUUUUGGUUAAGUCAUUUACUGCACUCGUUCUUUCUGAUAUUGGUGCAUCGUAUUCAUACAUAUCAAGGGGAUUUGUGGAUAAGUAUAACCUGCCAACCCAAACCCUUAGGUCACCCAUGUUAGUAACCUCGCCUGGAGCUGAGUAUAUGGCUAGUCGAUGGUGUGAUCAGUUACCAUUAAGGAUUGGUAACUAUGUGUUUCCCUUGGACCUAAUAGUAUUGGAAUCUCAAGGAUUGGAUGUGAUGGCAUGGAUUGGUUGUCAAAGUAUGAAGGGAACAUUGAAUGCGCUAGUAAGACAAUCUUACUUACGACGCCAGAAGGAAGAAGGAUCAAGUAUGUAUCCCGGCAUGCGCCAAAAAGGACACAAGUAAAUUCCUUAUCAGGAGUUGUGCAGGAGGAAGUACCAGUGGUAAAGGAUUUUCCUGACGUAUUUCCAGAAGAGUUGCCAGGCAUGCCACCCGAUAGAGACAUUGAGUUUUUGAUUGAGCUUUUGCCAGGCACAGGGCCAAUAUCGAAGAGACCAUACAGGAUGCCCGCAAAAGACUUGGAGGAGAUUAAGAAGUAGAUUAAGGAGUUACUGGAUAAAGGUUUUAUUCGCCCAAGUUCUUCGCCUUGGGGAUCACCAGUACUUCUAGUGCAGAAGAAGGAUGGAUCGUUAAGAAUGGUUGUUGAUUAUCGUGGGUUGAAUGAAGUAACGAUCAAGAACAAGUACCCACUACCAAUGAUCAAUGAUCUGUUUAAUCGAUUGCAAGGAGCUAAAGUGUUUUCCAAGAUCGAUUUGCGAUCAGGGUACCAUCAGUUGAAGAUUCAAGAGCAGGACAUACCUAAGACAGCUUUCACCACAAGAUAUGGGCUAUAUGAGUAUACUGUUAUGUCAUUUGGUCUGACUAACGCACCUGCCUAUUUUAUGAACAUGAUGAACAAAGUAUUUAUGGAGUUUUUAGAUAAGUUCGUCGUGGUGUUCAUUGAUGAUAUUCUGGUUUACUCGAAGAAUAAAGAGGAACACAAGGAACAUUUGCGAUUAGUACUUGAGAAGCUUAGAGAACAUCAGUUAUAUGCCAAGUUCAGCAAAUGUGAGUUUUGGUUGAAGGAAGUAGGAUUCCUUGGACACGUUAUAUCCGGAGAAGGAAUAGCAGUUGAUCCCACAAAGGUUAUCACUGUGACAAAUUGGGAAGCACCAACAAUAGUUGGAGAGAUCCGGAGUUUCCUUGUACUUGCAGGAUACUACCGGAGAUUUAUUGAGAACUUCUCGAAAAUUGCAAAUCCUAUGACGGAGUUGUUGAAGAAGGAUACCAAGUUCAUAUGGACUGAGGAUUGUGAGGCUAGUUUUUAGGAGUUGAAGAAAUGUUUGGUUACCUCACCAGUGUUGAUUCUGCCAGAUCAGACCAAGGAUUAUGAGGUGUAUUGCGACGCUUCACGUCGUGGACUUGGAGCAGUGCUUAUGCAGGAGGGAAGAGUUGUUUCGUAUGCUUCACGAUAACUGAAACCUCACGAAUUAAAUUAUGCCACGCAUGAUUUGGAGUUAGCAGCUGUAGUGCAUGCAUUGAAAACAUGGAGACAUUUCCUCAUUGGGAACCAUUGUGAGGUGUACACAGAUCACAAGAGUUUGAAGUACAUUUUCACGCAGAAGGAGUUAAACCUCAGACAAAGGAGAUGGUUGGAGCUCAUCAAGGAUUAUGAUAUGAGAUUGCAUUAUCAUCCCGGAAAGGCUAAUGUAGUAGCGGACGCAUUGAGCCAUAAGAGCCAUGUCAAUACACUAAUGACGGGAGAGUUGCCAAAGGAGUUAGCCGAGGACCUUCGUGAGCUAUGUUUGGAGAUAGUUUCAAGAGGCUAUGUAGCAGCAUUGGAAAUUCAGUCAACUUUGUUGGAAAGAGUCAGAGAAGCUCAGAAGUCUGACAAGGAGAUUGCCUCUAUAAAGGAGAAAAUGAGCAAAGGAAAGGCUAAAGGAUUUCGUGAGGAUGAGCACGAUACCCUAUGGUUUGAAGACCGUGUUUAUGUGCCCAAUGACCCGGAGAUCAGGAAGUUAAUUCUGCAAGAGGCACAUGAUUCACCGUAUUCGACCCAGGGAAUACCAAGAUGUAUUUGGAUUUGAAGGAUACCUUUUGGUGGACCGGAAUGAAGAAGGACAUUGCGGAGUAUGUAGCAGUUUGUGAUGUAUGUCAGAGAGUAAAGGCAGAGCAUCAGAAGCCAGCAGGAUUGUUGCAGCCAUUGCCGAUACCCGAAUGGAACUGGGAUAAGUUAGGCAUGGAUUUUAUCACGGGCUUACCCAGGACUCGUUCAGGCUAUGACUCGAUUUGGGUUGUAGUUGAUCGAUUGACGAAGGUAGCUCAUUUCAUCCCAGUAAAGACCACUUACACCAGUGCUAAGUUGGCAAAGAUAUACAUGACCAGGAUCGUAUGUUUGCAUGGAGUUCCGAGGAGUAUCAUAUCAGAUAGAGGAACCCAGUUUACCUCAAAGUUCUGGAAUCAGUUGCACGAAACUUUGGGAACCAGGCUAGAGUUCAGCACAGCUUUUCAUCCACAGACAGAUGGACAGACCGAGAGAGUUAAUCAGAUUUUGGAGGAUAUACUGAGACCUUGUGCGCUAGAUUAUGGAUCUAGUUGGGACGACAAUUUGCCAUAUGCCGAGUUCUCUUACAACAAUAGCUAUUAAUCCAGUUUGAAGAUGGCCCCUUUCGAAGCUCUGUACGGAAGGAGGUGCAGGACACCGUUGUCGUGGGACGAAGUUGGAGACCGCUAGUUGUUUGGACCUGAUUUGAUUAAAGAGUCUGAACAGAAGGUGAAGUUGAUUCGCGAUAGACUCAAGGUAGCAAAGUCCAGGCAGAAGAGCUACGCAGAUUCUAAACGCAAGGAGACAGUUUACGAAGUCGGAGACCGGGUUUAUCUUCGAGUAUCUCCACUUCGGGGAAUUAAGCGUUUUGGAGUUAAGGGAAAGUUAGCGCCACGUUUUGUAGGACCAUAUCGAGUUUUGGAACGUAUGGGAGAAGUGGCCUACAAGUUGGAAUUUCCCGAAGGAUUGUCAGGAGUUCAUGAUGUAUUCCACGUUUCUCAGUUGAAGAAGUGCCAUGCGGAGAUGGCUGAUAUACCAUAAGAGAUACAGUGCCAUUGGAAGGAAUUCAGUUGGAUAACGAUUUGACCUAUGAGGAGAAACCAGUUAAGAUUCUCGAGUUUGCCAGCCGAGUCACCCGCAGCAAGGUUAUCAAGUUUUGCAAAGUCCAGUGGAGCCACCACACCGAGGAUGAAGCCACCUGGGAGCGAGAGGAUGAUUUGUUGAAGUACCACCCUCACCUAUUUUCUAUCCAACCCGAAUCUCGAGGGCGAGAUUCAUCUUAAGGGGGGUAGGUUUGUAACAUCCCAAAUUUUCAAUUUGGAAUGUUAUACAUUAGAUCAUCAUUGCAUAUCAUAUUUUAUUUGCUCUUGGUCUUGAUCCUAGAAAUUCUACAUAACUCAAGGACCCACGGAGAGAGUUGAGGGUUUCGUUAUUUUCAUAUUUGAGUUCUCUCAAAUUUUGAGAAUAGGAUCAUUUGAUUUUAAUUAUUUUAUCUUCAAUUAUUUCUAUUACAAAAAUAUGAGAGAGGAAAUAAAAUGACUUUCCCAAAAUAAAGAAAUAUUGAGGAUUUAAUAAUAAAAUCAAAUAAAAUUUUAUUUCGGAGUUUUUCGAUAUUUUUAUUUGAAUUUAGGAAAAAUAUGUGUUUUUCAAAAUUUCAUUUAGGCCCCAAAUAAAUGUUCACUUUGUCCGGCAUGAUUUUAGAAGUCGGGGAAAAUUUAUUUCAGGAUUUUUGGAGUUUGUUUAGUAUUUCUUUUAUUUGUUUUUCUGCGCGUAAUUAUUUUAAAAAAAUCCGAACCGACUCCGGGCCGUACCCGAGCGGGACUCCGCCCGGGGCAGCCUUUAAAUAGCGCCGCCCGAGCCCCGCCAAAGCCCAUCAGCCGCCGCCGCAGCCCACCCGUGCCUAACCCUAACCCUAGCGCCGCCGCUGCCCGCGUCACCGUCGCGCCGCCGCUCGCCGGACCCGCCGUCCGGUUUUUUUAAAGCCGCUGUUUAUCUUUUUAGAUUCGUUUUUUCAUUUAGAUCGGUUUUAUUUCGGUUUAUUCUAUUUAGCGAGCGUUCGCUCGAUCCGUUCGUUUUAACGAACGUGUUCGUCGUUUAGAUCCAGAUAACGGAUGUCCGUUCGUUAACCUGUUCGUCGUUUUUCUUUUUUCUCGGAUUUUCUGCGAUUAUUUUUGAUCGUGAUUUCUGAUCCGAUUUUCGUUUUAGUAUAACUUUUCGCUCGUUUAUCGGAAUCAGACGAUUCAAGCGCCUGGAGUUUCGUAUCGAAACCCUCUUUCCGUUUAACCAACUUAAACAAGUUUUUGUUUUUGUAAAAAUUGACUUAGGUCCAGAUUAGUAUAACGAAGUUGUUUUCUUUCGCCAUUUGACUUUUGUUGCUUCGUUUGAUUUGAUUCUUUUUGUAAACCGGAGUUCUUAAGUUGAACUUUCUGGUUAGAUCUUUUAUUUAAGUUUUACCUGUGCAUUAGAUGAGUACUUAUUGUAUGCUUGUUUGUUUGUCUGCGAUAGAAUACCCGAAGUGCGCCGCCUGUUACUUCGAAUCUCUAGGUUUCGUGGAUCGUCAGCAAGGCAAGUAACACUUUGAUCAUACCUUUCUACUACCCAGUUUUAUUGCAUUAGAUCAAUCCUCAAACAUUGCAUGAUUAGGAUCUAAUCAAAUUAUGGGAUGGGAAGUAGUUGAGGUAGUACCUAUUACUUGUUUUAUUUUCAAACCUUUGGGAGUUACUUCUACGUUUGCUUAUUAUGCCAUGCUAUGCUAGUAGACGUGGAUUGGGUGAGUGAUAUCCAUGACAGAUGUGAGAUUGUUAAUUAAUGGUUUAUCUAAGGUGGCAACUUAAACACACAUCUGGAUGGAUUGAGGUACCUGGGUAUUCCAGGAUUGCCUGUUUCUUUUUGGACCGCCACCCAGGCUCAAAGGGAUCAUGAGACUAUUCAUACUAGAAACUUACGUGUGCAGCCACAAGCUACUAUGGGCUCUAGCAUAGUUGACUAAGUCGUGCGAACUCUUACAGUGGUAGACUAGCUGAUGUAGGGGAUAUAGGUUGGUACGGUCUACCCGAUGGUAAGGUGCUAGCGCUUCUGAAAGACUAUGUCUCGGUCAUCCGUUUCUCAAACACCAUGUAGUGCGAGAAUCCCAUGGAGGAGAUCGAGUCUUGUGGGAAAAAGUGUGCAAACCUCUGCAGAGUGUAUAAACUAAUCAUGAUUAGCCGUGUCCCUGGUUAUGGACGUUUUGAGUAUCUAGUAUUUGGAUUAUCAUGUUACUCUAUAUUAAUUUUGUUGGGUUUUAAUGAUGAUUAAUUUAAUUGGGAUUGAGGAUGUUGUCAACCAUUCUCAAUGUUUAACAACCACCAUGAUAGUUAAAUAAAAUUUAUUCCUUUGCAGUAGGGAAAAAUUAGCUUUACGCAAAACUGUAACCAUUGAGCUUUCCACCAGCCAUAUAUGCAUGUAGUAUAGCUUAUUCCUUCAUUACUCUCUAUGUGUUACAUUGCCAGCAUAUUCCAUGUGCUGACCCGUUUUCGGCCUGCAACGUUUCAUGUUGCAGACUUUUCAGACGAUGAGUAAGGUGCUUUUAGGUCGUGGUUCUAUACUCAGUGAUGCCGUUGGAGUUGAUGGACUCGCUUAUCUUCCAAGUCUUCCGCUGUUAUCGUUAUUAGAUGGCUUUAUGCCAUAUUUAUUGUAAUAAGUUCUCUUUUGAGACAUUCAAUGUAAUAAGUGUGUGAUUGCUACUCUGUUAUAAAUCCUUCAAGUACUGUGUGGUGUCAGCAUUACUGAUCCAGGGAUGACACCUGAGCACAGAGAUCAGACUGUUUGAGGUCUGAUCGCUACAAUAAGUGAUUCUGAAGUGCACUGCGCAGCCAAGCCCACAUCUCAUGUUGUUACUAUAUUAUUCGGCUACCUUUAUUGUUUCUAAUAGGAAAAGCAAUAUAUUUGAUCCAAUUCCAGGCAUCUAUGGUCGACACAUCAUCAAGAACAAUAAGGUAUUUCUUGUCCUCUAGCUUUUCUCUGAGGUAGUUGGCGAGAUGCUCUACUUGCAUUGCCUUCUGUUCAAGUUCUUUCAAGAAUUUCCUCAAUGACUCGGUACCCAAAAGUUGGCUUAUCAUCUCCUUGAGCAUCUCUAUCUUCGAAAAUGACUGUGAGACUGUGAUCCAAGCACAACAAGCAAAUUUAUUCACAAUAUCUUCCUUGCUAUCAUAUGAAGUGGCGGAUCCAGAGGGUGGACAGGGUGGGCUGCGGCCCACCCUGGGAUUUUGCGACGGCAUGCAUACCAUAGUAGAGAAGGCUCGAGGAAAAAAAAUAAAAAAAGCCCAGGAAGCACUGUUGCGACCUACUGCGCACAACCACACCUGUUCCCGUCUCCUCCUUCCCCUCUCUGGUCUAUGCGCCGCCGUCCCUACUCAGCUCAGCUGCUCGCCGUAGCGGCGGACCUCGGCGGAUCCACUGCCACAUCCCGUUCCCAGGACGUCAGGAGCCACUCGUCACCUGCCCCGCCUGGUCGAAGCGACAGCGGCAGGCUGGCACCACCCCGCGCGUGCAGUCCUGCCUGGCAGCAGGCGGUAUGCAUCGGUCAACAGGAAUUCAUGAUUUCUCAUUUGCGUAGGUUUCCCUUUGUUCACACUUCCAAUUUCUAAAUUCUGAUUGAUUGCAUGUCAUAUUUGUUGCUAUUAAGAAGAAAAAACGUGAAGAACUGCCUGGUCAUCUAUGAUCAAGAAAUUUCUAUGAAGUAUGAAGAACGGGAGUAACAUGUGUUGACUUACAAUAAUUUGUGUUUUGUGUGUAUAGUAAAUUGGAACUAGGAGUUAAAAUCAAAAUUGUAGUAUGAUGCAAAGCAACUAUUUCUUGAAUGGCAAUUCUUCACUGCCAUUUGUUCCUACACAUAAAACAUAAGUAAAAUUAGUAGUGAAGGAUCGUAGGCAAAAAUAUUCUUUUUGCAGAAGAUACUCCAUACAAUUGAUGGUAGGCAUGUCAUAUUUGUAGUAAUUUUUUUAAAGAUGGACCACCCUGUUUCAAAAUCCUAGAUCCGUCACUGAUCAUAUGCCUUCCUUGCUAGAGUAGUCUUACCUAAACCGCCCAUGCCAACGACACAUAUCACCUUGGAAAGACCAUCUCUGGAGUUAACAUCCACCAUCUUAAUCAACUCCUCUUUAGGCUUAACAAAGCCCACAAGCUCUGCCUCAUCAAUGUUACCAGCUGAGUGGCUACGAACAUCUUCCAUGCUGGAAUUCACCUCAUCAAUGUUGCUGAAGGCAUCAGUGUUGAUCAAGUUAUAACGUGCAUUCCUAUUGCUCACUUCUUCAACUCUUGCUUUGAGAUCACGGAUUUGGCUGGCAAUCCGAUACCGAUCUUUCAGCUUAAGCAGCCGUCGAGAACGGCUCUGGCUUCCCACAUGCACCAUAAAUUCAUCAAGACAAUCCUCAAUACCAUAUGCUAGAUCUCUUACUUGCUCUGCCCACACCUUCAGUAGGAUGUUUUUGUUCUUUGUUUUCUCGGCAGCCAUGAGGAAUGCUUGCAUCGUCUUGAGCUCGUCUUUUAUGAACCUAAUUAACAUGGUUUCUUAGAACAACUGGGUUUACUGCCAUUUUACAGCUCACAUAUAGGAGGGGAACAACUCCUACUUCGAUUGGAAAACAACGAUAUUUAUGACAGAUGAGAUGUUUAUAUAGAACUAGGUACGUGGGCUAAAAGAAGCAUCCAGUCAUUUUGUUGUAAAAAUAAAAAUAAGCUAGCGGUCCGUCGGCUCCUACAAGCAUGGAUCCAUAAACAUGCCUCUCACCGACUAGUAAAAACAAAAUCGACCUGGCAAAAGGAACACCGGCCGGAAGAGAAUUCAGAAGUACAUACCAGAUGUCCUUGCGGACGCCGAUGAGGAGGCUCAUCUCGGUGGCCGCGGCGGAGGCGGCCAUGCUGAUGGGGCCCCCAGCAUGGAUCUCGCCAUGCUCACCACCGUCUCCGCCAUAUCUAGCUCUUUCCGUCCGCCCUUCCUUCCUUUCACGAGUCUCAAGUGCUACAAGGCCGGCCGGCGUGGGUGUUCGUAGCUUUGGUAGGAUGCUCUGUGCGCUCAGGCUGCUUACUUUGGAGAUAACAUAAAGAGGCAAAGCAAAAAGAGGCACGGAUGACACCUAGCUUGCUCUACCUGUUAGUACACGCAAUUAAAGAUGCAAAGAAGGAAAGUAGCCCUCGCCAGGGCAAUUUGCAUUUCGCAGAGAAGAAAGACAUGGCAAUGGCAUAGGGUAUCACCAAGGAAAGCAUCACUCAAGAAGCGUCCCCAAAGCAAAAAGUAUCGCAGAGGAGAACCUUUAGUUUGUACCAACUUUAAUAAAUUUGUGCAGAUCCAAAACUGAAUAGUACGCGUUUUUCACACGCAGAAUCUUAUUCGACGCUCACCUCAUUUGAUUUGUCAACGUUUCACACAGAGUGUGCGCUCACCUUAUUUUUUCUCUUCUGGUUCAAGGAUGUGUUUCUCCGGAUUUUCUUCCUUUUUUCCUUGUUCUCUUCAGUUUUUAUCUUAGCAAUUUUCUUUUGUUUGUGUCUUUUAAUUUUUUUCAUCUAGUUUUUGCUUUUUCUUUUUCCCUUUUUAUGUCAUUUUAUAAAUAUAGUUCUUGCAUACACAUGAAUAUUAUUUGAAUAUGUGAUGGCAUUUUUUUCUAAUACACGACAAUCAUUUUUAAAUGAAUAUUGUUUUUCAAUACAUGAGGCACGAUGGCCACUUUUUUAAAUACAUGAUGAGCAUUUUAUAAUGUGCAACGAAAAUUUGUCAAAUGCAUUUAAAACACUACAAUAUUUGUUUUAGUAUUUAAGCUUAUUUUUGACGAUACUUUUUUAUACAUGCAUAUGUGAUUUUUUUUAAAAUAUUACAUACAUGGCAUAUUAUUGUAAAAAUGUUCAUGAAUUAACAACAUAGUUUUGUAAAAUGUUCAUGAAUUUUAUUUUAAAGGAUUUUAAAAUCUUUUAACGAAUUUAAAAAUAUAUGUAAUCAUGAACUAGAAAAAUGUCAAUGCAUUUAAAAAAUAUCUGUGUAUUUAGAAAAAACAGGUCGGACUGCGCCUCCUCACUGACGAGCAGACGCAAUCAACGAACGACGGCGAAAUAGGGCGUGCGUGCAUGGCCUCGGAAAGCCGCUGGCUCAUGAGGUCUGCCCGCUCACCCACUCUUACGGUCUUACCCCGUCUCUCCUGUUAGAAUAAAAUCCGACGCAUAUCGUAUCACCCGAGGACCAAGCAAUUACAUGAACACGACACCGAGAUUUAUUAAUGAGGUUCAUCGAUAUGGCUACAUCUCCGGGGCUUGACUAUGGGUGCUUCUCCCCAUGACACCGUCACAAUACCGCACACCGGUCACCCGGUCGUCGGCACACGCCGCCGGCUCCCCUUCGUGCUUGUACUAUUACUAGCACAAAUGCCCGUGCGUUGCAACGGGGUAAUAAAGACAUAGACAUUAUUCUAUUGACAAACUUGAUGACAAGUAUGAAUUUCGUACAAAUUUUACUAAAACAUCUUUAGCUAAAUAGAAAAUGCAUAUAACACCGACAUCUUAAUCUUCAAUCAAAAACACGAAGGUAACAAAACUCUUAUAACUGUGGAUAAAACUACAAUAUAUCAGCCUACUUUAAAUUGAACUGCAUCAAUUUCUGCACCCUCAUUAAUCCAAAAAGAUUGAGAUGGUUACAUUAGUCGCCUUCCGAUAUGAAUUCAGUCAAUUGCUUGGUAUCAUCUAUACAGAAGGAGAAAAAGUAAUCAAUCAUUUUCUUACAUCUAUAUGUCAUAUUGGUAAGCCUUAAUUUGGAAAAUGAACACACACACACAUACGCUUAAAUUUAUAAAAAAAACAUAUCUUCUGUUCUGAGCAAUCAUUGAUAAUCUACACUGGAAUUAGUUAAUGCCAGAUUUGCAAGUGGCCUAAAAAAUGGCCUAUGUCUCAUGCGUAUUGUUGCUCAAGUGACCAACGCACAAAUUCUUUACUUCCGCCGAAUUCCAUUUGAUCAUGUACAAGCAAGGCACAUCUGAUAUUACUCGAGCAUAGGUUCAACAAUAUUGUUUAUUUAAUUUAAUGUUUAUCAUGAUAUGCACCCAUUUUCCGCCAAGCCCCCAUCUGCUCCUAUAUAGUCUAUUGAAAUCUGAAUCCUAUGAAAUGCAAAGUGCCGCUCCUUGUGCAGGGGAUAGCCUCACAUGGUCCUGCAUGUAGAAUUGAAUCUAUCUACACAUAUGUUGACAUUUACCCUUGACUUUUUUUCCCUUUAAUUCCUUGCCUUGUGCGCUCGAACGGAAUUUAUGUUUCAAACUUCCUGCUCAUAAUAGCGCAAUCAAAAUUUAUUUCUUCUUUUGGUUUCUUUCCUUUCAUGCUCAUAUCCUAGGACCCAACUUCUAAUCACCGUAAGUAGAACAAUAUUCUUCCGUAAGUAGAACAAUAUUCUUCCGCGAUCUCAACAUAAAUUCAAUUGCAACAGAAUCAGAACCGACGCAUCAAAGGAUAGAUCAAACAAUUCCAUGGUAAAGUUAUUUGGAGCGAGUGUUUUUUCAGUGGAAUAAGUGUUUCAUCUGGAGUGGAAUUUUGAGAUGCCUGCAUGUUGUACUAUUUUCUGAUGUAUUAUAUCAUAUUCUUAGAAGCUAAAUGCAGUUUGAAUAUAAGACAAACACCAUGAAGCUACCUAUCAUUAUGCUUUGCUUUCUCUACCUGCAGCUUUGUUUUCACCUCAGAUCCGUAAGGAGGAGCGCAGACAGAGAAUUGUACAGAGGGAAAAAGAUUUUGAGACACACUUGGCUUAUCACCAGACAAUCCAUCGAAGUAUUAGCACAGAAUGUGGAACUACAAAUCACCAUCUCCACUCCACCGGUAGUUCAAAAUCUCUCGGGAUUUUUAACCUGACACAACAUAUGCUAGUAUACCUAUACAUGUAUCAGUUGCAAUUUUAGCUAGCUAGGAGCAGAGGUAAUUAGGAAGCAAAGCUUGUUAUUGCUACCUGGAACUAAGGCCAGAUGAGAACCACCGCAACAGCUGUUCCAAUUUUGUUUUCUCUGUUCAGAGAACAACACUAUCUGAAGGAAUUGCUGACAGUUCCAGCGCUUCGUUCAACAGACCAACCACACAACAUGGGUGUCUACAAUCACAAGAAGGCAACAAUAUCUAAACUGACGUACUUCGCAACAAUAUCUUUAUCUCUGAACUCCAUAUUAGAAGGUACACAGAGAAACAAGGGACAGAAAAAUAACUCCAAACAGGGGUCAAGGGGAUACAUACCUCUGCUGUAGCCGACGCAGGCGACAUUGGAUAGCUUGACGACUGUUCUUCUACCUUUGGCGAACUCGACGCUUCUUCUACCUCCGGCGAACUCGGCACUUCUUCCUGCAGCGAACUCGGUGUCGACAUUGGAUGCUUCGUCCAAAAUUGACCUGAUGGAGAUUCGAGCCGAGGACCCUCCCUUCUUAUAGAAGCCAACAACAAUCCGGGUCGGCAGCUCCAUUAAUUUGCGUUGGACAAGGACACGGACUGCAAUCCAUCCAAAUCGAUUUGUGUUGGACAAGGAGACUGCAAUUCCAUCCAAAUCAUACACGGGAGCAGAUGCAGAGGUUGAGAAGGUUACGUCGGGGGAGGCGGGAGAGGACUGGCUGUGGCGGACAGGUCACAGUGGAGCAUGCUCGCCGCCGGCGCUGGCCGACGGCGUACCCAAACUGAGCUGUGCCCCCUUCGCAGCGCCAACGAGGUCCGGCGCCCUUCUCGCGCGCAAGAACGGCAACCGCCUUCUUCGCGAAAUUCCUGAGCACGACACCGCACAGGGACAGGUGCCGGCACCGGAGCAGCAGAAAGCAGGCGACCCACGGCGAUGGCGCAGGGGGGCUGCAGCAGCUGGUCCAGCGCGGCCACAAGCUCAUCACCAAAACUCUUCUCCGCCCGCCGCGCCGCGCCUGAACAUCUUCUCGGCCAUCUUCUCCUGCUCCGUCGCGCCGCCCCUUCUGCUCCGUCGCGCCGCCUCUUCUGCCACAGCUCUGCCCAGCUCCGCCCUUCACUUGUCUAUUGAGCGGUUGGAUAAAACGUACUUUUUUUAACGAAACAUAGAGAUGUAGCGGUCAGAAUAGAGAGACGGGCCAAGGCCCAACUGGAUCACAGCCCAGCUAAACGAGAACAUACCGGUCAAUCGAGUUGCAGAGACAAAAUUUAGUACCACCUCAAAUAUGUUAUAAAAUUCAAAAUGAAAGCAUAAAAUCAUGAGAAAAAGCGCAUUGUGACGGUGAACCCACGGAGUCAACCCGUGCUUUAUUAUUAGGGAGAGAUAUGUUGGCAUAAAUUACAUCGUGUGUCUACCCUCACUAUAUAUGAGAGGCGUAGAAUACAAGUGUCCUACGAGGCCACGACUCCAUAUCCUAUUUAAACACAGUAGUACUUAGAGUCCAACUGUAACCUACCUUGUACACAAUAUUCAACACAACUCCAACAAACUUCACCUUGGCAAAUAUCCUCCAUCACCUUGAAUUUGUUAAUGUGUCAAACUUUCAUGUACGUUGGAUUUGAGCUUAUCCCGAGCACUGCUGGUACUCCAAGACUUCAUGUGAUCCACUUGCAACUUGUAGUCCCUUCUUUUCUUGACCACAGUCAACACUUGUGCAAAAUUAAGUUCCUUCUUACUUUAGUUUGUGCUCCCAACUUUCAGAGUAUCCGUCCAACGCCAUCACACACUGAUCACUGACAUGCGUGAAGGUGAACAACUCACAUAUUGGUGACACAUAGCAGAGUUACCUGAACUCAACAUCACCGCUCCUUCUUGAUCGCCUGUCUGAAACUUGAAGGAAUUUCAUCAUUGCAUGUAGUCAUCUGGAGUCAAAUUCGCAGUUGUCUCACCACAUGUAUGACCACCAAAGCCCUGGCCCGUCUCCAUGUUCUGUGCACGCUGCACGCCUCACCGCUAUUACCGCGUCGAGCCUCCGCUGUUCCGGUCGAGUCUCAAUGGUCGCGAAACCACAUCAUUCAACCCCCACUACAGAGUACCACCGAUCAUCACCGACCGAUGACGAGUUUCACGAUUCCAUCAGACCCCUGGGCUCCAAUUUGAAUUACACGUCCCUCGCUUUUCCCGUUGAAUAGGCUUCGGCUCUCUGUGCACUUACGCCGUAGCCCCUCAAUCAGCGCCGAGUGAAGUCCACCAGACUCCAACUCCACCUUCAACAUGACUCCAUGAUAGAUGAUCAGUCCACCCACGCGCCUCAUCGACUUCAAGCUCCGUGUAUACACCACUUUGAAUCAAUCCUGCACCAUAGUCUUGUCGAAGCCAGACAAGCCCUCGGGCCUGUGCCACGUUUUUUCACGCCCAGAAGUCGGUCACCAUCAGCAUCACACUCCUAUGUCGUUGUCGCCGAUCCCACCACCGUCUUCUGUUCCAACCGACUCGCGUCGAUCCGUCAGACUAUCUAGUCCGACCCAACUGAACUUGUUCGGCUGCAUGACACGCCAGAGGCUCCCAAAUCGUCUUCCAAGAAUUCUCAUCCAUCACAUGAUAAUUCCAUCUUAGCUGAAUUGACUUCCCGCGACGCCUUCAAGCAUCUCUGUUAUGCCAACAAAUCUUCCAUCCGUGUCUGUCAUAACCCAAGGUUUUCAGUUCCGUAAACUUGUCCAUCUCAAACCUGAUACUCAUUGGCGCCAUGGUUCUUCGUAUAACCGACUGUGUGAAAAAAUACCCGAGCUAUCCCCGCGACGCCAAAGUACAAGAACAAAACCCAGCGUGGUCUCGCUUCUAUGCACCAGUAGCAAUCCACCAAAUUUUUGUCCUUCAGAUGAUCUGCUCCAUUGGCUCAACUCCUGACGCUAGUGCAACUUGCUUUGCCAAAACCUGAUGCUAAUUCCAAUGGAUGCACAACGUGACGUUCUUUUUCCCUCUGAUUGAUCUGCUGCCUCUCACCGUGUCAUACGUGGACUCGGUCCACUUUUGGUUCAAACAAAGCUCGUAUGCACAGGCAGCACCAUCGAGCGCCGCAUGCACAACAGGCCUUUGCCUCCACUUGAGCCACACAGCUGCACGCACCAGCCGACUCCACUUGGGCCAGCCAGCCCGCUCCACGCACCGCUAGCAGCAGCACGCCAUGCAGCCUGGCUCACGCGAACCGCCGAUCGACCGGCUGGCCCCGACUCGGCCUGCUGCUGCACGAUUCAACCGGUGUACGCUCGCCUGGUCGAUCCGUCGAUCGACCGCUGCACGUCUCGUCUGCUGCCACACGCACACGCGUCUCUGAUCUUAUUUUUUCUGAUCUCGCUGAGAACCACGCUGCACCCAGCUGCAUUUCAAACUCGAUUCUUCCUCCAGAUCAACAAUCCACAGCCUCCUCGUAACCUUGCUUAUGAUACCACUUGUUAGAAUAAAAUCCGGAGCGUCCCGUUGAUCAUCCGAGGACCAAGCAAUCACAUGAGCAUGACACCAAGAUUUGUUAACGAGGUUCACCGAUAUGGCUACAUCCCCGGGGCUUGAUUAUGAGCGCUCCUCCCCGUGACACCGUCACAAGACCGCACAUUGACCACCUGGAGGCCGGCUCACGCCGCCGGCUCCCCUUGCGCGCAUGUGCUAUUAUGUUGGCAUAACUUACAUCGUGUGUCUAUCCUCGCUAUAUAUGAGAAGCGUAGGAUACAAGUGUUCUACUAGACCACGACUCCAUAUCUUAUCUAAACACAAUACUACUCAGAGUCCAACUGUAAUUUACUUUAUACACAAUAUUCGACACAACUCCAACAUCUCCUGUUGCUCAAUCCAAUCUUAGUCAGUCAGUGGACCACGCAGCAGCUGCCCUGCCUUACUAGUCAACAUAGUCUAAGCUAAGUGCUCGGUCUUUCUCACGUUCAUGGUGCAGCUAUCCUGCUGCAGCAAGUUCCGACUUCUUUGUUUAGUGAUGUAGUGGACUUGUAGCUGAUGAGUUUCUUCAUGAACCCCCCCUAAUGGCACUUGGCUGAUGAGCAUGCAGUUAUAGUGGCAUGGUUAUUGGCCAGGACUUGUACGUCGGGCGACUUGAAAUUCUAAACCAUCAAAUCUUUGCAUAAGAGUGGUUCCGAAAAAUUCUCGAGCAUUUCGAUUGUUGCUCUUUUAUGUUCUUGCUGUUGGCAUACUGAGGACAAAGUUUCAGGGACACAUACAUGAGCCCGGUGAUUGCCUCGGAUAGCCACUUUUUUUCUGAACGAAGACGUCAAAGGCUUCCGGCUUUAAAUUAAUAAAGCCAACAGGCGGUAACCACAUAUUUCACAGUCAUCUACAGACAGGCCAUCAUAACGACCAAAAUAUAGGACUUCACCAACAUUAACACGCAGGCUGGCAUAACGAGAGUUCUAAACUACAUUGACGAGCAAAAGGUGUCGAGGGUAAGGACGAUGCACAGAAUCACUCCUGGCCUGCUACUUGUCUCGCUUCCGUCUCGAUGAAGCGGAUCUUUGCCAUCGUCUCGGACAUGCGCUCCUCAUCACGCGGUUUCCCCAACGGAACCCAAGUCUGCAAGAAAAGAUGGCAUUUGUACAUAAUAUCAGCAGUGUGAGAAGGAAACUUCUUCUCAAUGGUCAUCUUAUUGCGAGUAGUCCAUAAAACCAAAGCAGCGCCCCUACGCAACGCCAAACGAUCCGCGCACUAGCGCCCUUUUGCGAACGCAAAAUAUGUAAAAGAUCGACACUCGAUGCUGGGUUCCAAUUCUGCUGGAAGGCAGCUCUCACUGCGCUCCAGGCAAAUCCGGCUAGGUGACAGUGGGAGAAAGCAUGGUUAGCAUCUUCAAUGCAGUUUCAGAGCACACAUGAUCCGUCGGAGGGGCCGUUACGAAUCGCAACAUUAUCCGCCGCCGGGAGGCGAUUUUGAAACAUCUACCAGAGGAAGAUCUUUAUUUUCAGCAGGAGGCCAGCCUUCCACAGCCCUCUAGCUAUGUCCAGCACCUCGCCUUUGGUUAGUUUGCUAUACAGAGACUUAACCGAGAAUGAUCCCGAGGAAGAUAGCUUCCAAGAGACCUUGUCCGCACCCUGGCUGGUUGUGCGAUGGCCGAUCAAGGCCUUCACCGCGUUCCAUUCAUUUUCCUCGUGCGGGAGCAGAGACCUAAGAAAGGUAACCGAAGGCGGUGAGGUCCGGAGUGCCUCACCCACCAGCAGCUCCGUGUUAGAGGCAACUUGGAAAGCUGCAUGGUGACUCUGCCAAAGCGGAGAAGUGCCGAUCCAAGAUUCCAGCCAGAACCGAGCUGACUAGCCGUCCCGGACCUGAAACUUAGCCCCUAAGGUGAACGCAGGUCACAAAUCUUGGAUCCCGUUCUAGCAUGGGGAACCCGAACGUUUUGCGGAGAAAACAUUGCCGUUAGGGAAAUACUUAGCAUUAAGAAGAUCAACCCAGAGACCCGACUCAUUUUGGGCUAGCCUCCACCACCAUCGGGAAAGGAGGGCGACAUUCAUGAAUUUGGAGUUCAAUAUGCCCAAACCACCAAACUUUUUUGGACGGCAAACCGAAGCCCAUUUAACAAGGUGGUACUUCCGCUUAUUUCCCGUUCCUUACCAAAAGAAACGGGAGCGGGGCGUGUCCAACUUAGCGUGAACCCAUCCGCUAAAAAGAACAUUCCCAUGGUGAACAUAGGAAGAGAGGAGAGGCUAGAGUUAGUAAGAAUAAGUCUCGCCGCGGAAGACAUAAUCCUUCCACGCCAAGGGCUCACUCUAACCGCGACCUUUCCAUAGAGGGGCUCCUACUCCUUAAUUGAAAUCCGGCUAUGAGAAAUAGGCAGGCCGAGGAAUUUGGUUGGCAAGCUCCCUAGCUUGUAGUUGAGUAGGUUAGUCACUCUCGUACUUUCAUGGUCAGCCAUCCCCAUGGUUAUGACCUCGCUCUUGUGGAAAUUGAUUUUGAGCCCGGAUAAAAGCUCGAAGGCAGGCAGCAAAAGCUUCAUCGAGGCUAUGCUAUUGUCAUCCGGUUCAAAAAGCAACAUCGUGUCGUAAGCGUAUUGCAGAUGCGUGACCGCUCCGGGAAUCCUCUGAUGUGCCCUGCCGAGCGAGCCCUAUGUAACAUAGCUGACAAAGCAUCCGCAACAAAAUUAAAAACAAGCGGAGAUAAAGGGUCUCCUUGUCUUAGGCCUUUUUUUGUUAUGGAAGAAUCUACCCACCUCCCCGUUAAUAGAGACAGCCGUUUGUCCACAAUUAAUCAGGUUUAUAAUACGGUGGACAAAACCAGCGUCAAAACCCUUUUUGAGAAGCACCUCCCGUACAAACUCCCAGUUUACACGGUUGUAGGCUUUUUUCGAAAUCGGGCUUGAGCAGCACUCCUUGCUGCUUUUUAAUUUUUAGCUCAUGAACGAUUUCAUGAAGGGCUAUAGGGCCCUCCAGAAUAUUCCGACCCUUAAGAAAAGCCGUUUGACUUUUAAGGAUGACCCUCUGAGCAACAGGGGCCAACCGAGUCGCGUAAGCCUUGGCACAAAUCUUGAAAGGCAUGUUAAUAAGCGUGACAAGUCUGAAUAAUUUGACGUUGUCAGCCCCUUUAACCUUUGGGAUAAGGCUAAUAACCCCAAAAUUGAGGCGGGAGAUAUCUACCGUUCCAAGCACAAACCCAUUCACAAUAUUAAAGAAGAUGGGCCGAAGCAAAGGCCAAAAUCUGCAGAAGAAUUCGACAGGCCAGCCAUCAGGUCCCGGGGCGUGCCUUUCUUCAUACCCACCAGGGCAGCAUCUACUUCUUCAUGAAGGAAAGAGAGCGCCAAGCUCUCGUUCUCCUGGGAUGACACUUGAUCCUGAGGAUCCCAAAAAUCAUCACGGAUACUAAGUUUUUUCUCGUCGGUCGUGCCCAACAAACCAACAAAGUAAUUGUAGAUGUGGCGGGCAAUAUCUCCCUUGGAAACAAGGAGGCCCUACUCCGACUUCAAGCGAAGAAUCGCACUCCUACGCUUUCUCCCGUUAGCGUAAGCGUGGAAAUAAGCCGUGUUUGUGUCGCCCUUAGUCACCCACUUGAUGCCGCCCCUACGGCGCCAGUAUUCUUCUUACGCAAACAGGAUCGCUAGAACCUUGUGCUCCAGGUCAUACCUAUGGGCCCACUCAGCUUCCGAAAACAACCGCACAUCAGCCUGGGCAUCAAGACCCGCGAUCUCCUCAAUAAGCCUACCACGCUCACGUUUGGAAUCACUGCCAUGAUUGGCGCCCCACCCAUGCAGGAAGGCACGCAGGGCUGCAGCAGCAGCCGACCAGCACUCUACUGGUCCCCUUUGGGGCCCCUGCUGGGUCAGGAUCUGCUCCCAGCGAGCAUGCACCAUGUGUAUGAAGCCCUCUGCUUCAAACCAGGCAGACUCGAAGAAGAAGCGUUUGCUACGCUGGGCUCUCUCUUCCCCUGAAGAGAAGAUAAGAGGGACGUGGUCCGAUCCAAUACGAGUUUCAGGCACUAUGGUACAUAAAGGAAAAAGGACCUCCCAUUCCAGGGCAAAAAACACCCGAUCCAACACGAUGCGAACCGGGGCCAGCUGUUUGUUAGUCUAGGUGAUCCUGGCACCCGUACGAGCCGCUUCACGCAGUGCAGCUGCCACAAUGGCGUUAUUGAACAUGGACACCCUUGUCCAGUCCACCCGGUCAUUGUUUUUAUCCGCAUCCGAACGGAUCAAGUUAAAAUCUCCACCCACUACCAGGUGCAGAUUAGCGGUGCGCUUGGCCCUAACCAAGGCCGUGACUUCGUCCAAAAAAAUGGCAGAGCGUGCGUGGUCGGCCGGACCAUAAACACACACCACUAGCCAAAUAAGCCUAGAGAGUAGAGACAGAGUACCUAAUCGUAGCAGCGACAGAAAAUGUGCCUUGUUGCCAUGACAAAACCUCGCAUAUGUCUCUGUUACAUCCCAUCAGGAUCCCACCCGAGUGUCCUGGGGGGGGUAACCAGUGCCAAUUGAAACAGUUAAGGGGUCAAAAGCUAACAAGUCGUGAUAAGAAAAUUCUGCUUUAAUAGUUUCCUGUAGCACAACAACAUCAAUUCGUUCCUUGGCCAUGUAUUCAUUAAGUUGUGUCUGACAUCCCUCGUGGCCACAACCUCUAGUGUUCCAGAAAAGAUACCGCAUUAGAUCAAAUAAUACGAUUUCGCAGACGGAACCCGCGAGAGGUCACUGCCUUGGCCACGCGCUUCUGAGCCGUAACACGACUGGAAGAAGGAAGCAUUGAAGCAGCCCUUGCUUCAGCUUCCUCAGGCCUUGUUCGUUUAAUCCUCCUCCCAAGGGGAUUGGAGUGGAUUGGAGAGGAUUUUGCCUUGUAGGGGAUCUAAUCCCCCUCAAACCCUGCCAUUCCCCUUCAAAAACCACCUCAACCGAACAAGGCCUCAUCGGGGCAAGAAGUGGUACCAUCCCCUGCUAGUUCCACCGCAGGUGAGGUCGCAAGCACACAACGAGCCGCAGCUUCAGCAAGUGCUGCUUGGGCCUCCUCACGUGCACGCACUAACGAGAUGAUCUCUCCAUGAGGGAUAGAAGAGGCAACACCACUAUCAUCAGAAAUUCACGACAAAUGUGCAUCAGAGAAAGCAUUUAGAAUUUUGUAGGAGGGUAAAGGGUUACCUGAAACCUCCAGAUUUUUGUCAGCAGUACGAAGAAUGGCGCUCUCCAAUGAGGAUAAAUCUCCCAACUUGGCCUUGGACCGCACGCUCGGGGCCCGCUGCGGCUCCGGAGUCGCCUUGGACCGCUUGGCCUUAGCGCCCGUACCCACCGACGCCAGCACCGCGCCCAGAUCACCCCGAAACUGCUCCGACUCCAUCGCCGCACUCGCCUUAGCAGCCGGCUUCGGGCCCGUCUUCUUCUUGGGGGGUCUGCCCGAACCACCCGAGCCGCGACACCCGGAGGGUGGGGUGGGAGCAGAGUCGUCGUUGAGCACGCAGCGAGCAUCCACGCCACCAGGAGCCAUCGGGGAGCGGGGGACCGCGCCCCCCACGUCACCAGAGAGCACCUCAACCACCAUGGGGGCCAGGGAUGGCGAUCCAAGGUGGGACCCAUACUCAUCAAAAGAGACAGCAAGAGUCCUGGCCAGCAGAGGAAGGCUAACUGCACUAUCCUGCGUAGCCACAACCCGCGAUCCCCCAUCCAGCAUCCCAAGUCUCAGUAUCAAUUGAGGUGUCAUGUAUGCUUUCGUCCAGCUCAUCUUCUUGACCAUCCAUCACCGCAUCCUGGGGCAUCGCCGACCCGAGCGCGCCACCCGACGGCUGCUUAGACAGAUCUCUGCCACCACCAGCAGGUUUGGGGCCAGUGCCCGCGUCCCGCAGGCGACCAGACUGGUCCAAGGAGGGGGGAGGGGGUUGCUUGUCAGACGGGCCAGCUCCCCUGGAGCCGCUCUCACCAGUCCUUUUUGGGAGCCGUUCCACCUCCACCUUGAUUUGGUAGCCUUCCCCAUUGAACCACACCUCGACAAAAACCAUUGAGCUUGUCUGGCGACUUGCACGCCAGCUUCAUUCUCACCGGCCCCAACCGGAUUAGAGAGAGCUCAUCCACCACGAUGGUACGCCCCAGCAUCCUCAGUCCUUCCAUCAGACGCUCCACACGGCGAUGCUUCCUGGGGAUGCCAUGAAGCCGAACCCACGUCUCCGGCAUGACCAUUGGAACCACCUCCUCAUGCAGGGACUCCCUCACCCGUGUUGUUAUGUCGUUGAUGGAGAGAAAGAGUUUGUCACUGGACUUGGCCAUAUGGAGCAGAUCGGCCGAGGGAAAGAUGACCGAGAAGUCAUUGUCCCCAACUUGGGCGACCUGCCAAUCCCAAUCACCACUCACCAGAUCCCUGUUUGUCUCUCAGUCAACGGAGAGUUCAGCCUGCAGGCUCCCCGCGGUCUAAGAAACUGCCGACAGUGUGCAAACAUGGUCAUUGACUAUGGAUGGAAAAUACUACUGCUCGUUCCAAAAUAAAACUGUGGAUUACGGAUACCGUCGCGAGGCCUUUUUGCUGGCAAACUGUAAUUUGCAAAGCGAAACCGAUGAAAAUCGCAGAGUUAAUAGGGUAGCAUGCGUAUUGUCUCAUCAACUCAAGUCUGCAGAAAAUUGAUAACGACAUAUGCAAUCAUCAUUCUCUGUUUACAAAUAAGCGCAGACAUAGUGGCAAUCAUCUGUAGGAAAACAAAGUACUAGGAAGCAAAGUAAGUCUGUAUUUAAAAUUGAAGGUCUUUUAAAUCAGGCUGAUUCGUAGCAACAUCCUGUGUGGUGUAGCCAUAAAAUUUUCAACGUCUUCUCCCCAGCUGAAAUGCAUUUACAGAGCAUGCAUUAGUUUUAUUCCGUCGGCAAAUAUAUUGUGUGUUCGCAAGUUGAAAACAAUGUGACAAAAUUGCAAGGAUACGAACAACACACAACAUGAUAACUACAAAUAAAUAACUUACCUGUUAUCAGCAUGACUACUUCAUGGUACACGUUUCAGAGGCACUUUGACUGUUCAGGCACCGUGAGCUAGCUCUCUCCUUGCUCGGAAAUUGAAUUCCAGGCUGAUUCAGUCGAGAUCAUUCAGUGUCAUUGGCGGCAGAAGAUGUAAGGAUAUUUGUUCACUACAGGCUGAGGAGCUACGUGCAACAAAGUGGAUUAUAUGAAAUAAAUGCUUAACGAAAAAUCGACGCAGAAGACAUGACAAAGUUUACAGUAUAAGAUAGACCUUACAUGUCCAUCAGAUAGGUGGAAACGAAUGGUCGUAUCAUCACCAACAACAAGUGCAAACGAGCAACAUCUCCUGUUAUAGAGAGACAAAAGUCGUCAGAAACCCAAACUGAAUCAACUAAGCAAAGUAUGCAACCGUGGUAUUCCAGUUAAGGUGCCUGGCGACCUGAGCAUAAGGCAGUAGAAGCCAGCAUGCAGCAUGGGGGCGAUCGAGGUGAGCAAAGAACCAAAGAAUGGAACGGGGAAGAGAUCGAUCAUCAACUACAACUAGACACUCGUUCUCAGCGCAGAUCAUCUUUGCUGUUAUAGUAGGCAAGAAAGCAGAAUCCAAGUCUGAACCCCUAAUGGCACUUGGCUGAUGAGCAUGCAGUUAUAUAGUGGCAUGGUUAUUGGACAGGGCCUGUAUGCAGGGCGACUUGAAAUUCUAAACCAUCAAAUCACUGCAUAAGAGUGGUUCCGAGAAAUUCUCGAGCAUUUUGAUUGUUGCCCUUUUAUGUUCAUGCUGUUGGCAUACUGCGGACAAAGCUUGAGGGACACAAAAAUGAGCCCGGUGAUUACCUCGGAUAGCCGCUAAGAUCCCUGUUUGUAUCUCAGUCGGUUUGCUGACUGCUCAGUUCAGCCUGCAGGCUCCCCACGGUCUAAGAAACUGCCGAGAGUCUGCAAACAUGGUCACUGACUAUAGAUGAAAAAUACUGCUGAUUCCAAGAUAAAACUGUGGAUGUCGGGUACCGUCGCGAGGCCUUUUUGUUGGCAAACUGUAAUUUGCAAAGCGAACCCGAUGAAAAUCGCAGAGUUAAUAUGUAGCAGGGCAGCAGGCGUAUUGUUUCAUCAACUCAAAUUUGGUGGGAAAUGGAUAACCACAGAUGCAAUAAUUAUUAUUUGUUUACAAACAAGCACGGACACUGUGGCGGCAACAAAUGGAGAUGAAUAAACCAUCUCUAGAAAAAAAAAAGAGUACUAGAAAACAGAGCAAGUCUAUUAAACGCCAUUCCGUCAUCAGGUUGAUCAGCCAUUCCAUGCCACGGUCUUCUCCAAGAACCGGUUUUUCAUCUGGGUAAACAAUUGCAACUUGUAAACUCCUUCUGAGAUCUCAAAAUGGCGUUGCAGCUUGCUACACGCAUCUCUUACAUUGAAGCCCCAAGAUCACUGCGUUCCUCUUCCAUUCGCAGUGGAGAAAUGGCAAGAUCCCUCUCAGCUUCACCUUGCAUCAUACUAGAGGCUGCCAGCAAGCAGAGAUGUGGAACGUGAUGGCCAAUUAAUGGCCAGUUGCAGCAUAACAGCAUGUAUAUGCAGCUUCAUUGAUUGCAGCUUCUUGUGGGGUGUAUAUUCCAUUCCAUUUUUGACGUCUUGUCCCCAGCUGAAAUGCAUUUACACAGCAUGCAUUAGUUUUAUUUCAUUGGCAAAUGUAUAAUGUGUUCGCAAGUUGAAAACAACAUGACAAAUUGCAAGUAUAUGAAGCACCCGUAGCAUGAUAACUACAAAUUAAUAACUGACCAGUUAUCAGCAUGAUUACUGCAUGGUUCAUGUUUCGGUGGCACUUUGACUGUCGAGGCACCGUGAACUAGCUCUCUCGCCUGGCUCGGAAAUGGAAUACCAGGCUUCAGAUUCAUACGACCACUUUAUUGAUUAUUCUCAAGAACCUUACAAAGUAUUACAAACAAUAUACCUAAAUCCACCAUCUUGGCAACAUAUGCCUCUAUUCUUAUCCAUACGAUGAAGGGUGCUAGCUGGGCUACUACCCAAACCACUCACCUAAGCUUAACAUCAAAAGCCGGAAACCCCAGCCGAGCCCCAUACCGGGUCUGGGGCACAAUCCGGUCAGACGCACUCGUGUGUCGUCGCCGCCAUCUUCCACAGGUCCGUCUUCAGAUCAUAUUGAGGCUUCCACCUUGUCUGGCCACUCUGUCAUCGACGUCACCAUGAUGCCAGACAGCUACCUCCUCCUGCGCGAGUCCAUCUUCGCGCAUCGGACGCUGAGCCUCCACAGCGCCAUGCCGCCGAUCUCCGCCGCCAUCAAUGUGUGAGAUGAAGUACCGCUCCAUCAUCCCCCCCAACCAUCACUUGCUCCAAAACGAUGCCCCCAGGAGGGAAAGCGAUAAAACGCCAUCAUCGUCCAAUCCGAAAGACCCAGAUCUAGGGUUUCCCCCGGAGCAUCCCGAGCCUGAUGACGCAGACUGCAACGAUGAUGCCUCGACAAGGGAACGACAUCUAAGACGCCGUCAUCGUCUGCCAUGACCGUAGUCGGCGCGAUUUUCAUCAGCAGUUGCUCCACCAGACGUGCGUCACCGACGUCGCUGGUCCCUUCAACCGGAGUAGACUCGAAAACGAUGCCCUAAAGAGGGACUAUGACGCAAAAUCGUCAUCAUCGCUCGAUCCCAAGGAGAUCUAGGGUUUCCCCCGGAGUUGCCCGCGCUGUCAAGGACCAGACAAGGGUAGAAUCCCGGCGGAUCUGCCCAGCUGCCGACGAGUCGCACCCGCCACUAUGCCGACGGCAGACCAGCGAUCAAGGCCCAUGCUUGGGCAUAGAUCCGGCCGCGCCGCCGCGACCCGAUCCGGUCACGCCGUCGCCGUCCCUGGCGACCCGAUCCGGUCACGCCGCCGCCGUCCCUGGCGACCACGACGCACCAGAUCUCGAGGCCUCCUGCCGCGGGGGAGCGAAGUUGCCGAGGCGCCGCCACCACCCGCCGUGGCGUCUGGCCCGCCGCCACGCUCCGGCCCGGGGGCGCCGGCCCGCGCCAGCCCCACGCAAGCGAGAGGGCCCGAGUCCCCGCCGCCACCGGCGACGACUAGGCUUCACCUGGCCGUGCCCUUGGGCGGCGGCGAGGGAGGAGGAGGAGGAGUGGGGGAGGGCCGGCCGACGGGAUCUGCGGGCCUCCCGGCCGCCCACGCGGGGGGCGUCUCGGGAGGAGCAGUAGCACGGUCGGUCGUACGUACUAGUGAUUUGUAAUGGUUCUUAUUUGUCUUUGGAAUCUACAGGCCAGCAUGUAGCAGGGAGGCGAUCGAGGUGAGCGAAGGACCGAAUAAUGGAAUGGAAAAGAGACCGAUCAUCAAUUACAACUAGACACUUGUCUUCAGCGCAGAUCAUCUUUGCUGCUAAAGAAGGAAAGAAAAGACAGCAGAAGAGAAUAGAAAUGGACUGUAAGAGUAUAUAGAAGAAUAACAUCAUCAGUUGAUAGUUACAAGCAGGUAUAUAGCCAGCUAAGUGAACAUCAGACCAAUUUAAGGAGCCAUCUUCCAGCAUUUCUAUGCAGUGGGCAGAUCAGAGAAUGCAGGUUGCGUCUCUUGAUGAUUCAUGAGUUGAUUGAUAAUGCCAUCUUCCAGACCAGGUUGAGAAAGAGGGGCAUAUAUAACUGAGCCCAAGUGGUGAUGGAGAGAUUCCGCGAGAGCAGGGCGGUACAUCAAGUCCCUGUCAGAAAUAAUUGAUAAGCAAAAAAACUAUUUACCAGCAUUGCGGAUUGAAAGAAACAAAGAGGGAUGUUCGAUCCGUACCAGAGAAUCUGUACCGGAAGCAGUAGGAGCAGUUGCAAUGUCGCUGAAGAAAGAAACAAGCAGGAUCGAUCGAUCAUCAAGCAUCGUCGCCGUCAUCAGAAAUGCAGGAGCAAUAAUCAUCUUCAGAAUCUUGGCUGCUACAACAAACAACAACAGAAGAGCAAGAGCAUGUUCAGUUGUGCUAACUGUAUAUAGGACGUCAUCAGUUCAGUAGAUUAUUACCUACUGCUACUGAACAAAAGAGAAAUUAGGUACUGACCUGUCGCUCCUCGUCGUCACAGCCACCGCCUGCGAUGAGGAGCUCUCUCCAACUGCUGCUGGGUCGGCAUGGAGAGAUGAUUCCUCCCCCUCCAUCGCUUCGUCCGCUUGUACUGCAGUAUUGGAUCGUUGGACUACAUCAUCCAGGUCGUGGUGGUUCCCGUCGCUCUGCAGUCGCAGAGCGGGAUGGUUGGGAUGUGCCUCCACUUCACGUUGCAGCGCACCAAGCCUUGCCACUUUACCAUACGAACAAAAUGAAAUCUCCUUGAGAUUUGGAAGGUGUUUGAUGCCAGUAAUCCCCGAAGACAAUCUGCAGUGACGGAUUUCUAUCUUUUCCAAUAGGGGCGAGGUGCCCACCUCAAAUGUCAACUCCGUCAGUUGCGUCAGGCCCGAAAUAGCAAGUCUCCUGAGACUUAGGAAUGUUUCUGCUCUAAAAAACAGUUUCUCCCCAACAUAAGAUUUCCAACCAAGAUCAAGCAGCAUGAGCUUAGGCAGUGCGCCCAGUGUUUUCAUGCUUUCACCACCUUCUGUCAGAUUGCUACACCAUAAGCCAAUCUUCACCAAAUGUAUCAGAUCCCCAAACCAGAUAGGCAUCUCCUCAAGAUCUCCAUCCAAAGCCAGCUUCCUCAGGAGAGGGGGAGGGGAGGAAACAGACUGCAACCACUUAAGUGAUGCAUUGCUUCUCCCAGAUAUACCAUCAUCCACACGGAGACAAAGAGAUGUGAGGGAAGUGAGCUUCUCAAGGGAUGUACAGAGUAUUUUGCUCUUCUGCUUGCUUGCCCCUACUGUGACACUUAACUUUCUUAGCUUUAUAAGCUCCCCGAGCUCUUUCACUGCUUUCCUGCUAGUCCGUUCAGUAUCCACAAUCUCUAGUAUCUCUAACUCCUUUAGGUUGCUGAUCCCUUUGGGCACCCUCACACC